This 476-nucleotide ribosomal RNA is filed under the name uncultured bacterium. Its description in RNAcentral is "bacterial SSU rRNA". It matches the Rfam family "Bacterial small subunit ribosomal RNA", at positions 37 to 507 of the family's 1533-position model. The record is from RNAcentral.
UGGCGGCAUGCCUUACACAAUGCAAGUCGAACGGCAGCACGGGAGCAAUCCUGGUGGCGAGUGGCGAACGGGUGAGUAAUAUAUCGGAACGUGCCCAGUCGUGGGGGAUAACGUAGCGAAAGCUACGCUAAUACCGCAUACGAUCUAUGGAUGAAAGCGGGGGAUCGCAAGACCUCGCGCGAUUGGAGCGGCCGAUAUCAGAUUAGGUAGUUGGUGAGGUAAAGGCUCACCAAGCCGACGAUCUGUAGCUGGUCUGAGAGGACGACCAGCCACACUGGGACUGAGACACGGCCCAGACUCCUACGGGAGGCAGCAGUGGGGAAUUUUGGACAAUGGGCGCAAGCCUGAUCCAGCAAUGCCGCGUGCAGGAUGAAGGCCUUCGGGUUGUAAACUGCUUUUGUACGGAACGAAACGGUGAGCUCUAAUACAGUUUGCUAAUGACGGUACCGUAAGAAUAAGCACCGGCUAACUACGUG